Non-coding RNA from Ixodes scapularis (black-legged tick), 82 nucleotides. NCBI's taxonomy places the organism in Eukaryota, Metazoa, Arthropoda, Arachnida, Ixodida, Ixodidae. The record is from Rfam.
GACGAGGUGGCCGAGAGGUUAAGGCGAUGGACUGCUAAUCCAUUGGGUUCUGCCCGCGUGGGUUCGAAUCCCAUCCUCGUCG